AGGCGGCACUGCGUGACUGCAUCAUCUCCUCCUCCUCAACGGCCUCCUCUGCCGACGGUAUGUUGUUGCUGGAGACUGGAGAUUUGUUCCUUUUGAUACUUGUUGUUGCCUAUGAUUUGUGAAAGCCAUGAUGCAAUUUAGUUAGAACUCAUAUGGCGUGCUUUUCUAUGAUGCAAUUUGGUUAGAAGUUCAGAGCACGGUGUUUAACUAUCGAUUGUAGCACUGUUGCCC
RNAcentral lists this long non-coding RNA (231 nucleotides) under Hordeum vulgare. Its description in RNAcentral is "long non-coding RNA (HVUL_LNC004586)". The record is from RNAcentral. Lineage: Eukaryota; Viridiplantae; Streptophyta; Magnoliopsida; Poales; Poaceae.